UACGUAGGGUGCAAGCGUUAAUCGGAAUUACUGGGCGUAAAGCGUGCGCAGGCGGCUUUGCAAGACAGAUGUGAAAUCCCCGGGCUUAACCUGGGAACUGCAUUUGUGACUGCAAGGCUGGAGUGCGGCAGAGGGGGAUGGAAUUCCGCGUGUAGCAGUGAAAUGCGUAGAGAUGUGGAGGAACACCGAUGGCGAAGGCAGCCUCCUGGGCCGACACUGACGCUCAUGCACGAAAGCGUGGGGAGCAAACAGG
Molecule: ribosomal RNA, 253 nt
Filed under: uncultured bacterium
Lineage: Bacteria
Description: partial 16S ribosomal RNA
Rfam family: Bacterial small subunit ribosomal RNA
Source: RNAcentral